UAAGAUGAGAGUUUGAUCCUGGCUCAGGACGAACGCUGGCGGCGUGCCUAAUACAUGCAAGUCGAACGAGUCCUCCCAAUUUGAUUUUAUGCUUGCAUAAAUGAUUUUUGGAUUCGGGACGAGUGGCGAACUGGUGAGUAACACGUGGGUAACCUGCCCUGAAGUAGGGGAUAACAUUUGGAAACAGAUGCUAAUACCGUAUAAUUAGUUGGAACCACAUGGUUCCAACUUGAAAGAUGGCUCUGCUAUCACUUUAGGAUGGACCCGCGGCGUAUUAGCUAGUUGGUGAGAUAAAAGCUYACCAAGGCGAUGAUACGUAGCCGACCUGAGAGGGUAAUCGGCCACAUUGGGACUGAGACACGGCCCAGACUCCUACGGGAGGCAGCAGUAGGGAAUCUUCCACAAUGGACGAAAGUCUGAUGGAGCAACGCCGCGUGAGUGAAGAAGGGUUUCGGCUCGUAAAACUCUGUUGUUAAAGAAGAACAAGUGUAAGAGUAACUGUUUACGCUUUGACGGUAUUUAACCAGAAAGCCACGGCUAACUACGUGCCAGCAGCCGCGGUAAUACGUAGGUGGCAAGCGUUGUCCGGAUUUAUUGGG
Molecule: ribosomal RNA, 599 nt
Filed under: Apilactobacillus micheneri
Lineage: Bacteria; Bacillati; Bacillota; Bacilli; Lactobacillales; Lactobacillaceae
Description: bacterial SSU rRNA
Source: RNAcentral